CGGGAAUAUUGCGCAAUGGAGGAAACUCUGACGCAGUGACGCCGCGUGCAGGAAGAAGGUUUUCGGAUUGUAAACUGCUUUAGACAGGGAAGAAAAAAGACAGUACCUGUAGAAUAAGCUCCGGCUAACUACGUGCCAGCAGCCGCGGUAAUACGUAGGGAGCAAGCGUUGUCCGGAUUUACUGGGUGUAAAGGGUGCGUAGGCGGCUUUGCAAGUCAGAUGUGAAAUCUAUGGGCUCAACCCAUAAACUGCAUUUGAAACUGUAGAGCUUGAGUGAAGUAGAGGCAGGCGGAAUUCCCCGUGUAGCGGUGAAAUGCGUAGAGAUGGGGAGGAACACCAGUGGCGAAGGCGGCCUGCUGGGCUUUAACUGACGCUGAGGCACGAAAGCGUGGGUAGCAAACAGGAUUAGAUACCCUGGUAGUCCACGCUGUAAACGAUGAUUACUAGGUGUGGGGGGUCUGACCCCUUCCGUGCCGGAGUUAACACAAUAAGUAAUCCACCUGGGGAGUACGGCCGCAAGGUUGAAACUCAAAGGAAUUGACGGGGGCCCGCACAAGCAGUGGAGUAUGUGGUUUAAUUCGAAGCAACGCGAAGAACCUUACCAGGUCUUGACAUCCAACUAACGAAGUAGAGAUACAUUAGGUGCCCUUCGGGGAAAGUUGAGACAGGUGGUGCAUGGUUGUCGUCAGCUCGUGUCGUGAGAUGUUGGGUUAAGUCCCGCAACGAGCGCAACCCUUGCUAUUAGUUGCUACGCAAGAGCACUCUAAUAGGACUGCCGUUGACAAAACGGAGGAAGGUGGGGACGACGUCAAAUUAUCAUGCCCCUUAUGACCUGGGCUACACACGUACUACAAUGGAUGUUAACAGAGGGAAGCAAGACAGCGAUGUGGAGCAAACCCCUAAAAACAUUCUCAGUUCAGAUUGCAGGCUGCAACCCGCCUGCAUGAAGAUGGAAUUGCUAGUAAUCGCGGAUCAGCAUGCCGCGGUGAAUACGUUCCCG
Molecule: ribosomal RNA, 1000 nt
Filed under: uncultured organism
Description: bacterial SSU rRNA
Rfam family: Bacterial small subunit ribosomal RNA
Source: RNAcentral